RNAcentral lists this ribosomal RNA (460 nucleotides) under uncultured Anoxybacillus sp. Its description in RNAcentral is "bacterial SSU rRNA". It matches the Rfam family "Bacterial small subunit ribosomal RNA", at positions 923 to 1382 of the family's 1533-position model. The record is from RNAcentral. Lineage: Bacteria; Bacillati; Bacillota; Bacilli; Caryophanales; Anoxybacillaceae.
GCACAAGCGGUGGAGCAUGUGGUUUAAUUCGACGCAACGCGAAGAACCUUACCAGGGCUUGACAUCCCCUGACCGCGUAUGAAAGUACGUUUUCACCCUCGGGUGACAGGGAGACAGGUGGUGCAUGGUUGUCGUCAGCUCGUGUCGUGAGACGUUGGGUUAAGUCCCGCAACGAGCGCAACCCUCGACCUUAGUUGCCAGCAUUCAGUUGGGCACUCUAAGGUGACUGCCGGCUAAAAGUCGGAGGAAGGUGGGGAUGACGUCAAAUCAUCAUGCCCCUUAUGACCUGGGCUACACACGUGCUACAAUGGGCGGUACAAAGGGUCGCGAACCCGCGAGGGGGAGCCAAUCCCAAAAAGCCGCUCUCAGUUCGGAUUGCAGGCUGCAACUCGCCUGCAUGAAGCCGGAAUCGCUAGUAAUCGCGGAUCAGCAUGCCGCGGUGAAUACGUUCCCGGGCCUU